RNAcentral lists this unclassified non-coding RNA (237 nucleotides) under Hevea brasiliensis (rubber tree). The record is from RNAcentral. Lineage: Eukaryota; Viridiplantae; Streptophyta; Magnoliopsida; Malpighiales; Euphorbiaceae.
CAUCAUCAUGCUCCAGAGAGAUGUAAGAAGCCUGUUGUAUGUGUUGUAAAAGCUUGACUGCCUUAUUGGGGUUCUUAGGACAGUUUUUAGCAUAGUGACCUCGAUUGCCACAGAUGUAGCACCUAUCAGACUUCUUUGUACCCGCUCUUUUCUUUCGAAAGUAUCUGACUGGUCUUCUUCCUUUCUUCUGUUUGAAAGGGGGUUUGAAACUAAAGGAAUACUUCUUGUAAUGCCCUU